UUGGGGGUAAAAAGGGUAAUCGGAUAAUUAUUUGUGCAAGACAAGAAAGGAAGGAACGAAGUCUCCGGGUCUGUACGCUUAGGGUUAAAACAACAAAAGUCUAGGGAAGGAGUCGGCAUUGCACAAUCACUAGAGGGGAAAACGAAAGCACAAACGGCAACUAGGUGAAGAGGUGGGGGCGACUACACAACCGGGAGCUAUGGCGGACGGAACACCAAGAAGAAGUCAACGGCGUCCAUCUAUUGAGGCAACGAGUAGACUCCGUGUGGGAAGCUAGAAAUGACAAAGUGUGGAAUCACAUUGUUAUUCCUGAUUAUGUAGUAUUGGGAAGAGCUCAUACAUUUCUUCAUGAAUGGCAAUUUGUCAACUCUGAAGGGAGGCAUCAAGUUAAUGAGGCUCUACACAAUCAGAGAUGGAUGGCACCCCCGUUAGGGCUGGAAAAUAAUUAAUGUGGAUGUUACUCUGGACUUUGCAAAUAAAAGGAUGGGGUUUGGCCUUGUGUUGAGAGAAUCAAAUGCUAACUUUCGUGCUGCAGAGGCGAGUGAUUUCUUGGUAAGGGUUUUAUAAAUCAAAUGAAGCAGAGGCAAUGGGAGUUAGAGAAACUUUGAAAUGGAUGAAGGAAUGCAGUGAAUAUUUUAUACAUGUGGGGACAAACUCUUUGAAUGUUGUUAAAUUAAUGCAUACUCUUUUGUAA
This is a long non-coding RNA of Ipomoea nil (Japanese morning glory), 694 nucleotides long. RefSeq lists it as uncharacterized. The record is from RefSeq and is a predicted model, not a curated record. The transcript is spliced from 2 exons. Lineage: Eukaryota; Viridiplantae; Streptophyta; Magnoliopsida; Solanales; Convolvulaceae.